Non-coding RNA from Pseudomonas putida, 121 nucleotides. NCBI's taxonomy places the organism in Bacteria, Pseudomonadati, Pseudomonadota, Gammaproteobacteria, Pseudomonadales, Pseudomonadaceae. The record is from Rfam.
CGCGUUUUAUUUCGGGUAUUGGUUUAGCCACAGGCGCCGCUGAUACCCACACCGGCGCCCACGAACAGGGCCGCCGAACACGAGAACUCUCGAACCCCCGGACGGCCCAGCCCUCCGGGGG